This 254-nucleotide ribosomal RNA is filed under the name uncultured bacterium. RNAcentral's name for it is "partial 16S ribosomal RNA". It matches the Rfam family "Bacterial small subunit ribosomal RNA", at positions 524 to 776 of the family's 1533-position model. The record is from RNAcentral.
UACGGGGGGAGCAAGCGUUGUUCGGAUUUACUGGGCGUAAAGGGCGCGUAGGCGGCCACUGCAAGUCAGUUGUGAAAUCUCCGGGCUUAACCCGGAAAGGUCAACUGAUACUGCAGGGCUAGAGUGCAGAAGGGGCAACUGGAAUUCUCGGUGUAGCGGUGAAAUGCGUAGAUAUCGAGAGGAACACCUGUGGCGAAAGCGGCUCACUGGACCAUAACUGACGCUGAUGCACGAAAGCUAGGGGAGCAAACAGG